RNAcentral lists this unclassified non-coding RNA (596 nucleotides) under plant metagenome. RNAcentral's name for it is "partial contains small subunit ribosomal RNA and internal transcribed spacer 1". The stretch from base 48 to 375 matches the Rfam family "Group I catalytic intron". From Rfam's summary of the family: Group I catalytic introns are large self-splicing ribozymes. The record is from RNAcentral.
AAGUCGUAACAAGGUUGUCCUUCCAUGGGGUGAUGCCUAUCGGAAGCCUAUGCGGCUCCAGAAGGGGUGGCCAUCGCGACGUUAAAGAAAGGGGCCAUGAAAUCGCAAGUCGGCAUGCGCCGGCGACACUUUCGGAUUGCGGGGGAGGCCCCCAAGUCCGGCCCUACCAGCCUAGUGGGGAGAGCUCCUAGGUGCCCAUGUACUGUACGUGGGGGUGGUGAGAAGGGGCCCGGAUCUGUAGGGGUAAUCCGCAGCCACGCUGCUAGGGUGCUACUCGCGUCCCAGUAGCGGGGUUCACAGACUCGGCGGAAGUGGGUGGGGGGCCGUAGAGGCGCCUCGCUUAGGAUAGAGUCGACCCCCCUGGGAAACCCGGGGGGGAUAUGAGGCUGUUCCGUAGGUGAACCUGCGGAAGGAUCAUUACCGAGUGCGGGGGCCCGGCUCCAAUCUCCAACCCUCUGUGUAUCCAUUCUCGUUGCUUUGGCGGGGGGGCCCUCUCUAGGGCCCCGUCGCCUCCGGAUGCCCGGAGGGUGAACCCGUCAGGGGGUCAUCUUAACCUCUCUAAUAGUGGGCUCUGAGCGUAGGCCAAUAGUCUAAAA